This 1014-nucleotide ribosomal RNA is filed under the name Triticum aestivum (bread wheat). RNAcentral describes it as "partial small subunit ribosomal RNA". Lineage: Eukaryota; Viridiplantae; Streptophyta; Magnoliopsida; Poales; Poaceae. The record is from RNAcentral.
AUGAAGCCAUACAUGCCCACGGUACUGAGACCCCCUAGGGUGGUGGCCAUCCUGGCCGUGGUCCUGGCGGCGGCGCUCGCCACAGCCGUGAACGCUCAGCAGUGCGGCUCCCAGGCUGGUGGCGCGACGUGCGCAAACUGUCUCUGCUGCAGCAAAUUCGGGUACUGCGGCAGCGGCGACGCCUACUGCGGUGCCGGCUGUCAGAGCCAGUGCAGCGGCUGCGGCCCCACCCCUCCCGGCCCCAGCCCCGGCGGGGGCGUGUCGUCCAUCAUCUCCAGGGACCUCUUCGAGCGGCUCCUUCUUCACCGCAAUGACUGCCAAGAGGCCCGCGGGUUCUACACGUACGACGCCUUCCUCGCCGCCGCCGCCGCGUUCCCGUCAUUCGGCACCACGGGGAGCACGGAGACGCGGAAGCGGGAGGUGGCGGCCUUCCUGGGGCAAACUUCCCACGAGACCACUGGCGGGUGGCCCGCGGCGCCCGACGGACCGUACGCCUGGGGCUACUGCUUCAAGCAGGAGCAGGGCUCGCCGGGAAGCUACUGCGAGCCAAAGCCGGAGUGGCCGUGCGCGUCGGGCAAGAAAUACUACGGUCGCGGCCCCAUCCAGCUCUCAUGGAACUACAACUAUGGCCCCGCGGGGCGUGCCAUCGGGGUGGACCUGCUCAACAACCCGGACCUGGUCGCCGCGGACGCGACGGUGUCGUUUAAGACGGCGUUAUGGUUUUGGAUGACGGCUCAGGCGAACAAGCCGUCGUCCCAUGCCGUGAUCACAGGCCAAUGGACCCCGUCGGGCACGGACAACGCUGCUGGUCGGGUGCCUGGGUACGGUGUCAUCACCAACAUAAUCAACGGCGGGCUCGAGUGCGGUAGGGGGCAGGAUGACCGUGUUGCUAACCGGAUCGGGUUCUACAAGCGCUACUGCGAUGUCCUCGGCGUUGGCUAUGGUAACAACCUCGACUGCUACAACCAGAGGCCGUUUAACAGUGGGCUCUCGAUGGGGCUUGCCACUGAGUGA